Molecule: ribosomal RNA, 372 nt
Filed under: uncultured organism
Description: bacterial SSU rRNA
Rfam family: Bacterial small subunit ribosomal RNA
Source: RNAcentral
CGAAGGGUGCAAGCGUUACUCGGAAUUACUGGGCGUAAAGCGUGCGUAGGUGGUGAGUUAAGUCUGUCGUGAAAGCCCCGGGCUCAACCUGGGAAUGGCGAUGGAUACUGGCUCGCUAGAGUGCGGUAGAGGAGAGUGGAAUUCCCGGUGUAGCAGUGAAAUGCGUAGAGAUCGGGAGGAACAUCAGUUGCGAAGGCGGCUCUCUGGACCAGCACUGACACUGAGGCACGAAAGCGUGGGGAGCAAACAGGAUUAGAUACCCUGGUAGUCCACGCCCUAAACGAUGCGAACUGGACGUUGGGAGCAACUAGGCUCUCAGUGUCGAAGCUAACGCGUUAAGUUCGCCGCCUGGGGAGUACGGUCGCAAGACUG